RNAcentral lists this ribosomal RNA (479 nucleotides) under Hicetia sp. MN502. RNAcentral's name for it is "partial 16S ribosomal RNA". It matches the Rfam family "Bacterial large subunit ribosomal RNA", at positions 1831 to 2574 of the family's 2925-position model. Lineage: Eukaryota; Metazoa; Arthropoda; Insecta; Mantodea; Mantidae. The record is from RNAcentral.
GGUUUCUUGGAAAUAUAAGAGAUUUACCCUGCCACCUGAGUAUUUGAAGGGCCGCAGUAUUUUGCCUGUGCAAAGGUAGCAUACUCCUUAGUCUUUUAAUUAAGGGCUGGUAUGCAUGGUUGGACGAGGUAAAUCCUGUUUUAUGUAAAUGUAUUGAAUUUAUAUUUUAAGUAAAAAGACUUAAAUGUAGUUAAGGGACGAGAAGACCCUAUAGAGUUUAAUAAGUAAUAUUUUUAAUUAAGUUUAUAAAGGGUUUAUAUUAUUAUAGGACUUAUUUAAUUGGGGUGAUGAAAAGAUAAGUAAAACUCUUUUUUUAGAUAAAUAUAAAUUGAUAAUUAUUUGAUCCAUAAUUGAUGAUAAAAAGAUAAAAUUACCUUAGGGAUAACAGCAUAAUCUUUUUUGAGAGUUCUUAUCGAAAAGAAGGGUUAUGACCUCGAUGUUGGAUUAAGAUGAAUUUUGGGUGUAGAAGUCAAGUCGCC